Molecule: ribosomal RNA, 571 nt
Filed under: uncultured rumen bacterium
Lineage: Bacteria
Description: bacterial SSU rRNA
Rfam family: Bacterial small subunit ribosomal RNA (bases 1-510)
Source: RNAcentral
GUACGCCCGCACCGGUGAACUCAAAGGAUUGGACGGGGGCGGCACAGCGCGAGGCACAUGUGCCUACUUCGAUGAUACGAGAAGAACCCGUACCCGGGCUUGAACUGCAGGAGAACGAUACCAGAGAUGUUGAGGUCGUUUUGGGUGCGUCGGUGUGGAGGUGCCUGCAUGGUGUCGUCAGCUCGUGCCGUGAGGUGUCGGCUUAAGUGCCCAUAACGAGCGCACCCCUUUUGUCAGUUGCCAUCAGGUGAUGCUGGCCACUCUGGCGAUACUGCAACAGUAAGGUGUGAGGAAGGUGGGGAUGACGUCAAAUCAGCACGGCCUUACGUCCGGGGCUACACACGUGUUACAAUGGGGAGUACAGAGAGUGGUGCAUGGCAAUGUCCAUCCACAUCAUGAAAGCUCCCGCUCCAGUUCGGAUUGGGGUCUGCAACCCGACCCCAUGAAGCUGGAUUCGCUAGUAAUGGCAUCAGCCAUGGCGCGGUGAAUACGUUCCCGGCCCUGUGUACACACCCGCCUAAUUGAACUGUCUGCACAACGCUCUCUCACGCAUAGCGCUAGCCUCUAGCAC